UACAGAGGGGGCAAGCGUUGUUCGGAAUUACUGGGCGUAAAGGGCGCGUAGGCGGCCUUCUAAGUCGAACGUGAAAUCCCCGGGCUCAACCCGGGAACUGCGUCCGAUACUGGAAGGCUUGAAUCCGGGAGAGGGAUGCGGAAUUCCAGGUGUAGCGGUGAAAUGCGUAGAUAUCUGGAGGAACACCGGUGGCGAAGGCGGCAUCCUGGACCGGUAUUGACGCUGAGGCGCGAAAGCGUGGGGAUCAAACAGG
This 253-nucleotide ribosomal RNA is filed under the name uncultured bacterium. Its description in RNAcentral is "partial 16S ribosomal RNA". It matches the Rfam family "Bacterial small subunit ribosomal RNA", at positions 524 to 776 of the family's 1533-position model. The record is from RNAcentral.